Long non-coding RNA from Pipistrellus kuhlii (Kuhl's pipistrelle), 346 nucleotides. RefSeq lists it as uncharacterized. The transcript has 3 exons. NCBI's taxonomy places the organism in Eukaryota, Metazoa, Chordata, Mammalia, Chiroptera, Vespertilionidae. The record is from RefSeq and is a predicted model, not a curated record.
UCCCUCCUGGGGGGCAUGGCCAGGCUGAAAAUGGCCCUCAGCCUCUCACCCAGGCUGGCUAAGCACCCCAGUGGGAUCCCCCACCCUGAAGGAGCUGUGGCCACCCUGAAAAUGGCCCUCAGCCCUUUACCCAGGCUGGUCACACCCCCAUGGAGUAAGAGUCUUUGCUGGGGUGUGUGGUCAGCCUCCAAACAGCCAUUAGCCCCUGACCCAGGCUGGCCAUGGCCCCCCAGCUGGGACCCUCACCCAAUGGAGGCAUGGCCAGCCUGCAAAUCAUCACAGGCCCCUCGUCCAGGUGGCCCCACACCCUAAGUGAACCCUCACCCUGAUCCAGGACACCCUUCAG